UCCCUGGAGGACUAGUGGUUAGGCCUUGGCGCUCUCAUCGCCGUGGCCCGGAUUCGAUUCCCGGCCAGGGAA
This 72-nucleotide transfer RNA is filed under the name Pangasianodon gigas (Mekong giant catfish). RNAcentral describes it as "tRNA-Glu". It matches the Rfam family "tRNA". Rfam says of the family: Transfer RNA (tRNA) molecules are approximately 80 nucleotides in length. The record is from RNAcentral. Lineage: Eukaryota; Metazoa; Chordata; Actinopteri; Siluriformes; Pangasiidae.